UAAAAAAGGAAGAAAAGAAACUGUCUCUAGCUAUAUUAAAAGAGAAAACAAGACUUACAAAAUAGUUAUCUGUAAUUAUGAAAAAAGGAUGACAUUGUUGUGUCUUACAAAUCUACCAGAAUAUCAAAGAGAAGAGUGAAAGAAACAAAGGACUAUAUUAUAUAUAACUACUAAAAUCCAGCAUGCCCUCCGUCGCAGGCGGCGCAACCAGUAUCAUCAUCAUCCUUUUCGCUGUGAGGUUUAGUGCCGAUGCAGCAACACACAAGAGCCACCAGCAAGAUGAAUCCCCAAACAAAUGCAAACGAUUGUGCCACCUUCAAGAACUUCUCCAUUUCGAUCUCUUGUGUGUUUUCCUACAAACAAUUCCUCUCCCUUGUCAUUGAUCAUUCAUUACAUGCAUCUCCAAAAAACCUCCCGAAAGCUUUGAAAAAUAUCAUUUGAGUUUCGGCAAAAUUUAAAGAAUGGAACAUCGUAUUUCUUUAUUUAUUAGCUAGAGAAAAAGAGGAAUCAUGAUCAAGAGACCAACAUACAUGUUCGAAGAGUA
This 544-nucleotide long non-coding RNA is filed under the name Capsella rubella. Its description in RNAcentral is "long non-coding RNA (CRUB_LNC002809)". The record is from RNAcentral. Lineage: Eukaryota; Viridiplantae; Streptophyta; Magnoliopsida; Brassicales; Brassicaceae.